RNAcentral lists this ribosomal RNA (299 nucleotides) under Cutibacterium avidum. Its description in RNAcentral is "partial 16S ribosomal RNA". It matches the Rfam family "Bacterial small subunit ribosomal RNA", at positions 233 to 524 of the family's 1533-position model. The record is from RNAcentral. Lineage: Bacteria; Bacillati; Actinomycetota; Actinomycetes; Propionibacteriales; Propionibacteriaceae.
GCGGUGCAUUAGCUAGUUGGUAAGGUAAAGGCUUACCAAGGCGAUGAUGCAUAGCCGAGUUGAGAGACUGAUCGGCCACAUUGGGACUGAGACACGGCCCAAACUCCUACGGGAGGCAGCAGUAGGGAAUCUUCCACAAUGGACGCAAGUCUGAUGGAGCAACGCCGCGUGAGUGAAGAAGGUUUUCGGAUCGUAAAGCUCUGUUGUUGGUGAAGAAGGAUAGAGGUAGUAACUGGCCUUUAUUUGACGGUAAUCAACCAGAAAGUCACGGCUAACUACGUGCCAGCAGCCGCGGUAAU